ACACCUCAACUCCCAUGGUUCGCCAUGGUGAGCUUGGACUUUGGAGGUUUUGCUGGCCUACAGUCGGCUCCUCUCAAAUGAAUUAGCCUGCCAGUGUUUGGUGGCAUCACAGGUGUGAUAAAUAUCUACGCUUGCGAUUGCCCACCAGGUAACCUUCAGCUAUGGAGGUUCGCUGGAGCUUAUAAAUGUCUCUCCUCGGCGAAGACACAUUUUGACC
Molecule: unclassified non-coding RNA, 217 nt
Filed under: uncultured Tomentella
Lineage: Eukaryota; Fungi; Basidiomycota; Agaricomycetes; Thelephorales; Thelephoraceae
Description: sequence contains ITS2
Source: RNAcentral